This 423-nucleotide long non-coding RNA is filed under the name Ananas comosus (pineapple). Its description in RNAcentral is "long non-coding RNA (ACOM_LNC021566)". The record is from RNAcentral. Lineage: Eukaryota; Viridiplantae; Streptophyta; Magnoliopsida; Poales; Bromeliaceae.
CUGUAAUAAGCACUUUAACCGACCCGUUUGGUUGGAUAUAAUUAGAGUAAACUUCAAAUACCACUAAGGUAGUUUUAUACUUUUUCACUUUAGUACUCUGUGGUUUAAAGUGUAUCAAAUUAGUAUCCUGUGAUUUUAUUAUUAUAUUUUUAUUAGCUUUUCUAUUAAUAUUUUGUUAAAUUAUAUAAAAAAAACUUCAGAUAUUCUAUCUAGGUUUAUCGAAUAUUUACUUCAGUACACUUUAGUUUUAACUUUGUCGCUAAUUUAACGAAAAAAGUUAGUAGAAUCGAUAAUAAAAAGAUAAAAAUAAAAUUACAUGGCAUUAAAUUGAUAUAUUUUAAAUUACAAGAUACUAAAGUGAAAAGGUGUGAAACUAAAGGGGUGAUAUUUGAAGUUUUUUUUUCUAAUUAUUAGCCCCUGGAU